AUUGAACGCUGGCGGCAUGCUUUACACAUGCAAGUCGAACGGUAACAGGCCGCAAGGUGCUGACGAGUGGCGAACGGGUGCGUAAUGCAUCGGAACGUGCCCAGUCGUGGGGGAUAACUACUCGAAAGAGUAGCUAAUACCGCAUACGAUCUAUGGAUGAAAGCGGGGGACCGUAAGGCCUCGCGCGAUUGGAGCGGCCGAUGUCAGAUUAGGUAGUUGGUGGGGUAAAGGCUCACCAAGCCAACGAUCUGUAGCUGGUCUGAGAGGACGACCAGCCACACUGGGACUGAGACACGGCCCAGACUCCUACGGGAGGCAGCAGUGGGGAAUUUUGGACAAUGGGCGCAAGCCUGAUCCAGCAAUGCCGCGUGCAGGAAGAGGGCCUUCGGGUUGUAAACUGCUUUUGUACGGAACGAAACGGCUCUGGUUAAUACCCGGGGCUAAUGACGGUACCGUAAGAAUAAGCACCGGCUAACUACGUG
This 482-nucleotide ribosomal RNA is filed under the name uncultured bacterium. Its description in RNAcentral is "partial 16S ribosomal RNA". It matches the Rfam family "Bacterial small subunit ribosomal RNA", at positions 30 to 507 of the family's 1533-position model. The record is from RNAcentral.